RNAcentral lists this ribosomal RNA (492 nucleotides) under uncultured bacterium. RNAcentral's name for it is "partial 16S ribosomal RNA". It matches the Rfam family "Bacterial small subunit ribosomal RNA", at positions 29 to 507 of the family's 1533-position model. The record is from RNAcentral.
AGUGAACGCUGGCGGUAGGCCUAACACAUGCAAGUCGAACGGCAGCACAGUAAGAGCUUGCUCUUACGGGUGGCGAGUGGCGGACGGGUGAGGCAUACAUCGGAAUCUACUUUUUCGUGGGGGAUAACGUAGGGAAACUUACGCUAAUACCGCAUACGACCUACGGGUGAAAGCAGGAGAUCUUCGGACCUUGCGCGAUUGAAUGAGCCGAUGUCGGAUUAGCUAGUUGGCGGGGUAAAGGCCCACCAAGGCGACGAUCCGUAGCUGGUCUGAGAGGAUGAUCAGCCACACUGGAACUGAGACACGGUCCAGACUCCUACGGGAGGCAGCAGUGGGGAAUAUUGGACAAUGGGCGCAAGCCUGAUCCAGCCAUACCGCGUGGGUGAAGAAGGCCUUCGGGUUGUAAAGCCCUUUUGUUGGGAAAGAAAAGCAGCAGGUUAAUACCCCGCUGUUCUGACGGUACCCAAAGAAUAAGCACCGGCUAACUUCGUG